UUUCCGGUUGAUCCCGCCGGAAGCCACUGCUAUUGGGGUUCGACUAAGCCAUGCGAGUCUAUGGACUUCGGUCCAUGGCGGACGGCUUAGUAACACGUGGCUAACCUACCCUCAGGUGGGGGAUAACCUCGGGAAACUGAGGAUAAUACCACAUAGGGGAAGAGGUCUGGAAUGAUCCUUCCCUGAAAGGAUAUCCGCCUGAGGAUGGGGCUGCGUCCGAUUAGGUAGUUGGUGGGGUAACGGCCCACCAAGCCUACGAUCGGUACGGGCCUUGAGAGAGGGAGCCCGGAGAUGGGGACUGAGACACGGCCCCAGGCCCUACGGGGCGCAGCAGGCGCGAAACCUCCACAAUGCACGAAAGUGCGAUGGGGGAACCCCAAGUGCCUAUGCACAGCAUAGGCUUUUCCCAAGUGUAAAUAGCUUGGGGAAUAAGGGCUGGGCAAGUCCGGUGCCAGCAGCCGCGGUAACACCGGCGGCCCGAGUGGUGGCCACUCUUAUUGGGCCUAAAGCGUCCGUAGCCCGGUCCAGUAAGUCCCUGUUUAAAUCCUACGGCUCAACCCGUAGGGCUGGCAGGGAUACUGCUGGACUUGGGACC
RNAcentral lists this ribosomal RNA (595 nucleotides) under uncultured archaeon. RNAcentral describes it as "bacterial SSU rRNA". It matches the Rfam family "Archaeal small subunit ribosomal RNA", at positions 1 to 600 of the family's 1478-position model. The record is from RNAcentral.